UUCACUCAAUGAUGCGGUUUUGAUUGAGAUGUUUGCAUUUGAAUCUCAACAACGGCAGUGAUCAGACGACAUUUUGAAGGAGCAGAUCAACAGUGAGCAUGUUAAGAGAUGAAGAAAAUGUUCACAGUAUUCUCCCACAAAAGAGAAGUUUACUCAGGCAGAUUUUGAUAAAGAGAAUGGCUGCCAUCCAGCAGUGUGGGAAUGCAGAGAGAAUUGCUGUCAGGCAGAGGGAUGACCAACCAUGAGGACUUCCGCAUUGUCUUGGUGGAUGAGCGAGUCAUGGCUGGCUUGGAAAAUCGAAAAUUGUUGAACUGGAUUAAUACAAAUCUUCCCCAAAUUAAAAUCACCCAAAAACAAACUUAUAUUAAGUUUCUGAUACAAAUUCACUCCCACAACCUUUUGGGGAAAUUUCACUGCAUUGACUGAUUGAUCGAUUGUGUUGCUAAUAUUUUGAGAUACAGCUUUUAUACUGGUUUUUGUAUGUUAUGCAAUACACAAAUUCUGUAACAUUUUGUCUAAAAUGUGACUAUUCCUACCAAAGAAAUUUGACAGAACAUUUUUUUUUACCAUGACAUGGAUAAAGAACUUUU
Molecule: long non-coding RNA, 590 nt
Organism: Danio aesculapii
Lineage: Eukaryota; Metazoa; Chordata; Actinopteri; Cypriniformes; Danionidae
Exons: 3
Source: RefSeq, a predicted model, not a curated record